AUGGAUACUACAGCAAGCAACGCCGCCCUGGUUAUAGAAUUCCACAACAUAGUGAAUGAUGCUGCUGCCCCGCGUUCUCCCUCGCCGGAUCCAGAAGCUGAACUUAUGAAGCGCCAUUUCUCUGGAGAAGAAGCCGUAGGGCAAUUCCCCCUAACCGCGAGCCCAUCCAUUCUCCUCCAUGUGCUCUCAUCCUCUGACCUGGAUCCUAAAGAUCUUGCUGCUUUGGAGGCAAGUUGUACAAUUGCAUUCUUAGCUACAUGUAAAUUCUUCAGAAACCCCGCAAAGUUCCCACCAGACUUGGAAUUAUCACUUCCAGAACUUGCAGCAUUCGACAUGUGCCAGCAUAGGCCCAUGUUUAACCUAAUGAAACCGGAAGAGAAGGAGUGGCUGAAGCAACGGUGCGGGGGCUCUUGGAAGCUUGUUCUUGGAUACAUUUUGGUCGGCGAGAAGAAUUGCCGCUGCGGGAAAUCUCAGGUCAAUGCUGGACCAGGCCACAGCAUUGUGGUCACCGCAAGUGGGGCCGUAUACUCAUUUGGCAUGAAUUCCUCGGGCCAGCUUGGCCUUGGGGACACAGAAGACAAGUUCAAGCCAUGCCUUAUCAGGUCUCUGCAAGGCACCAGGAUCACGCAUGCCGCGGUUGGAUCGAGUCGAACAAUGCUUGUGAGGGACACGGGAAGUGUCUACGUAUUUGGAAUCGACACCUUUGGGGGCUAUAGCUUGAAUGGAAUGCCUGCUACUGACUACGUUAACAGUCCCAAGGUAGUGGAGUCACUGAAGGGCAUCUUUGUAGUGCAAGCAACUAUAGGAGGCUUCUUCUCGGCGGUUCUGUCCAGAGAGGGUCGGGUUUAUACUUUCUCCUGGGGCCACGAGGAGAGGCUAGGCCAUAAUACAGAUUCCGCCGAUGUCGAGCCUCGUCUUCUCUCUGGGCCUCUUGAGAAUGUACCUGUUGCGCAGAUUGCUGCCGGCAAUUGUUACCUCCUUGUGUUAGCCUACCAGCCCACCGGAAUGUCGGUGUACUCUGUGGGCUGUGGUCAAGGAGGCAAGCUUGGGCAUGGGGACAAGAACAGCGAGGGCGUCCCUCAGCUGAUAUCACACUUCGAGGGAAUCAACGCAAGGCCAGUGUCAAUCUCAGCCGGUGCUUGGCACGCAGCGGUCCUGAGCAGCGACGGCCGCGUGCUCACCUGGGGAUGGGGUUUCCAAGGCUGCCUAGGACAUGGAUACGCCGAAGAAUGCGCGACCCUCCCGAUGGCGGUGGAAAUCUCCAAUGCUGUCCACGUUUCAGCUGGCCAGUACUGCACCUUUGUCAUGACGGAUAAUGGUGAUGUCUACUCCUUUGGGUGGAAGGGAGCCUACAACCUAGGCUUGCAGGACGAGGACGAGGAGGAGAAUCAGGGUGUCCUGUCUCCCAAGUUGGUCGCCUCACUCACCGGGCUAAACGAAAGGUUUGUGCAGAUCAGCCCGACGAAUGCCUAUGAUUGGCACAACAGAAGUACAGGGGUGUCUCAUACGGUUGCCCUCACCGAAUCCGGCAAGGUGUACGCGUUUGGAGGAGGUGGCUCGGGUCAGCUUGGCAUCAAGCUUGCCGAGGGCAAAGAAGCCAUGCCCCCUCUCCAGGUUGACGUCGAUCUCGCCUAG
Molecule: ribosomal RNA, 1635 nt
Filed under: Triticum aestivum (bread wheat)
Lineage: Eukaryota; Viridiplantae; Streptophyta; Magnoliopsida; Poales; Poaceae
Description: partial small subunit ribosomal RNA
Source: RNAcentral